Non-coding RNA from Terfezia claveryi, 95 nucleotides. The record is from the annotation of a GenBank genome assembly. Lineage: Eukaryota; Fungi; Ascomycota; Pezizomycetes; Pezizales; Pezizaceae.
UCCGUCGUGGUGUAGUGGCUAGCAUUUGAGACUCUCAUACUCAGAUAUUUGAGUCGAGGACUCUCAGAACCCGGGUUCAAUUCCCGGCGACGGAA